Molecule: RNA transcript, 2499 nt
Organism: Liolophura sinensis
Lineage: Eukaryota; Metazoa; Mollusca; Polyplacophora; Chitonida; Chitonidae
Exons: 10
Source: RefSeq, a predicted model, not a curated record
CAUUUCUCAUAAAUGGGCUGACUGGAUCAAGGUUGCGCCCCUCACAUGACGCUGUUGACGAUUACCAGUAUGACAUACCCAUAAGCCGUAAACCAGGAUGAACAGUGAAUACCCUCAAAGAAGGAAGCCCCUGAAAGUUUUCUCUGCUGAUCGCAUUCAACGGAAGAGUGUCGUGAGCUCAACGUUUGUGGAGUUUAUUACGAUAUGCAGGGGGAAGUUCAAGGUGGGCAAUGGGCCUGUCAGACUUGUACUAGAGGAGGACGGGACAGAGGUGGACGGGGAUUACUGGGAAACUCUCCCUUCAAACUCAACCCUGUUACUGCUCACAGAGAAAGGCCGUCCCCAAGAAAGCGAAUUUGUGGAUCAGUAUGAAUCUGCUAGUUGUUCAUCGGAGAAGAUUCCACUGAAAGAUGAGCCCUCAUUUCCUGAGAAGCGGAAACUAUGUGAAGAUCAUUCCGAGGUUCCUGAGAAACGCAAUCGCUCUGACGAAUUUACCACCAGAGGUACCAUGUAUUGUUGGCUGGCAACAUUACUCCAUUGAAAAGAAGAAAUAUAUUCAGAAGAAAGCCGACAGCGGAAAAUCCUAACGCAGGGAUCAGGAGGGUGAACCUGCCGGAAACUUGGGGGUAUCAUGACAUGCUCGUCUUGUUGAAAUCCCUCUUCUUCAAGGAUGGGAAAAAUGAAACAGGGAAAGUAGAGAUGAUGAGUUGUUCUCUGGGAAACCCGAAAGGUGUGGUGAUACCAGCAGAAGGCUUCUCCGUGGAUCGUACACACCAUCCAAAUCAAUCAGGAAGUUUAUCUUCUGACAAAUCCACGAUUCCGGCUUCCAGUUAUGCUCUCAGAUUCAGACUUACGUAGUCAGUUUUCAACCUGUUCAACCGAGGCGACUGCUCAAACAUCUGUUUGUCCCAGAAACCCACGAACCAAGUCGCCUGUUUCUGGGGCUCGCCCACCGGACUCCUCUAGCCCACCAACCAAGGCGGCUGCUUCUGCGAGUCGGUUAACAGGCUCCAUUAACCCACCAACCAAGGCGACUGCUUCUGCAAGUGGUUCAACUGGCUCCACCAACCCACCAACCAAGGCGACUGCUUCUGCAAGUCGGUUAACAGGCUCCACUAACCCACCAACCAAGGCGACUGCUUCUGCCAGUCGGUCAACUGGCUCCACUAGCCCACCAACCAAGUCGGCUUUUUCUGGGGUUCGCUCAGCAGGCUACACUAGCCCACCAACCAAGGCGACUGCUUCUGCGAGUCGGUCAACUGGCUCCACUAGCCCACCAACGAAGUCGGCUUUUUCUGCGGUUCGCUCAGCAGGCUACACUAGCCCACCAACCAAGGCGACUGCUUCUGCCAGUCGGUCAACUGGCUCCACUAGCCCACCAACCAAGUCGGCUUUUUCUGGGGUUCGCUCAGCAGGCUACACUAGCCCACCAACGAAUGCGUCCGUCUCUGCGGGUGGGUUAGGAGGCCUCACUAGCCCACCAACCAAGUCGGCUAUUUCUGCAGGAAGGUCAACCGGCUCUACAAGCUCACCAGCCAACCCGCGCGUUAUCUACGCCACUUCAGCUAGACCAAGCAUAUCUUCUAUGUCUACAACAAAGCCAACACACCAACAGUCUACAAUCAAGCGUACAAUUCCUUUAGCGGCCCCCAUCAAGCAAGAAAAAUUAGAUUACAGUGACUCAAGUGCCUCCAGUUCCACCAACCGUGCGUUCCUUUCAAGAAAAGAUGAGCGACCAAUUCAACACACAUCUGCCAUACCAGAGGAGGAGGGGACAUGCGUGUGUCAGUGACGUCACUUAACGCGUACAUGUAUAUAGUGCUCUGCAUGCUCUACUCCGUUCUCAGACCUGCGGAGAAAAAUAUGGUUAUUUAAAUAGAUACCCCUUGCGAAACAUGUAUCUUACACUGAGCUCGUCACAAUUAAAGUACUAUUCAACAUUUCAGGAAGACAUGGAAACGACACAGACGAAGAAAUGUUCACACUGUUUCAUUCGAUAUCGGAAUUGCUUUUUGUUCCCAUGUGGUCACGGCAUAUGUAGACAUUGUGGCGAAGAACUGCAUUCUGCCCACCUGCCAUGUCCAGUCUGUGAGAGGAAAAUUGUGUCCAUAAGAUCAAUCUUUGACUAAUAGAUCCCAGGCAAAAGUGGUCGAACAUAUAUAUAACCCUUGAAUAUUUAAUUUGGCAUCGCUGACUGGAGAAUCUGGUCAAAAUGGAGCGUGUACCGUCUUCUUGGAUGACAUCACGAAACGUGUGUACUACGUCGCAAUCUCUCAUUCGUUUCAUGCACAUGUGUAUUUGUCGCUGUACAAAUCUUUCCGGUUCACAUUACCUAUUCCAUGUAUAUUUCCUGUGUAUUAAUUUCCAUUUUGCAUCGCUCUUGUGCUUACCGAGUAUAUAGGACUACCUUACUUAACGCAAGUAAUUUUGAGCGGAAGUAUUAAACCAGUAACAUAUUCGUAGUAGACAGAUAUAUCAUUACCUCUUUUAAUGUUUUAA